This 1424-nucleotide ribosomal RNA is filed under the name uncultured organism. RNAcentral describes it as "SSU rRNA". It matches the Rfam family "Bacterial small subunit ribosomal RNA". The record is from RNAcentral.
CAUGCAAGUUGAGGGGCAGCAUGCUUUUAGCUUGCUAAGGCCGAUGGCGACCGGCGCACGGGUGAGUAACACGUAUCCAACCUGCCGUCUACUCUUGGACAGCCUUCUGAAAGGAAGAUUAAUACAAGAUGGCAUCAUGAGUCCGCAUGUUCACAUGAUUAAAGGUAUUCCGGUAGACGAUGGGGAUGCGUUCCAUUAGAUAGUAGGCGGGGUAACGGCCCACCUAGUCUUCGAUGGAUAGGGGUUCUGAGAGGAAGGUCCCCCACAUUGGAACUGAGACACGGUCCAAACUCCUACGGGAGGCAGCAGUGAGGAAUAUUGGUCAAUGGGCGCAGGCCUGAACCAGCCAAGUAGCGUGAAGGAUGACUGCCUUAUGGGUUGUAAACUUCUUUUAUAAAGGAAUAAAGUCGGGUAUGGAUACCCGUUUGCAUGUACUUUAUGAAUAAGGAUCGGCUAACUCCGUGCCAGCAGCCGCGGUAAUACGGAGGAUCCGAGCGUUAUCCGGAUUUAUUGGGUUUAAAGGGAGCGUAGAUGGAUGUUUAAGUCAGUUGUGAAAGUUUGCGGCUCAACCGUAAAAUUGCAGUUGAUACUGGAUAUCUUGAGUGCAGUUGAGGCAGGCGGAAUUCGUGGUGUAGCGGUGAAAUGCUUAGAUAUCACGAAGAACUCCGAUUGCGAAGGCAGCCUGCUAAGCUGCAACUGACACUGAGGCUCGAAAGUGUGGGUAUCAAACAGGAUUAGAUACCCUGGUAGUCCACACGGUAAACGAUGAAUACUCGCUGUUUGCGAUAUACAGCAAGCGGCCAAGCGAAAGCGUUAAGUAUUCCACCUGGGGAGUACGCCGGCAACGGUGAAACUCAAAGGAAUUGACGGGGGCCCGCACAAGCGGAGGAACAUGUGGUUUAAUUCGAUGAUACGCGAGGAACCUUACCCGGGCUUAAAUUGCAGAUGAAUUACGGUGAAAGCCGUAAGCCGCAAGGCAUCUGUGAAGGUGCUGCAUGGUUGUCGUCAGCUCGUGCCGUGAGGUGUCGGCUUAAGUGCCAUAACGGGCGCAACCCUUGUUGUCAGUUACUAACAGGUUCCGCUGAGGACUCUGACAAGACCGCCAUCGUAAGAUGUGAGGAAGGUGGGGAUGACGUCAAAUCAGCACGGCCCUUACGUCCGGGGCUACACACGUGUUACAAUGGGGGGUACAGAGGGCCGCUACCACGCGAGUGGAUGCCAAUCCCCAAAACCUCUCUCAGUUCGGACUGGAGUCUGCAACCCGACUCCACGAAGCUGGAUUCGCUAGUAAUCGCGCAUCAGCCACGGCGCGGUGAAUACGUUCCCGGGCCUUGUACACACCGCCCGUCAAGCCAUGGGAGCCGGGGGUACCUGAAGUGCGUAACCGCGAGGAGCGCCCUAGGGUAAAACUGGUGACUGGGGCU